This is an RNA transcript of Macadamia integrifolia, 2691 nucleotides long. RefSeq lists it as uncharacterized. The record is from RefSeq and is a predicted model, not a curated record. Lineage: Eukaryota; Viridiplantae; Streptophyta; Magnoliopsida; Proteales; Proteaceae. The transcript has 10 exons.
UGAACCGAAUAUAUUUCCGUUUAAGAGUUUAGAGUAGACACUUUGGGUGAUUUAAUACAUAUCAGUUUCCCGCGACUUCGUGUGGAUCGUAACUUCCUCGCUUCGAAGCUUUUGUAAAUCCUAACCCAUGGUGUUUCAAAACGCUUCUUGCUCACUGUAAUCGAGGUUAAAGAUUCUGUUCAGGAUUUUCAACCUUUUGUCUGAGAGCUCAUUUGAGUAGACAGGGCAUGGAAGAUUUCAAGAAGGAAGAGGCCGAUGUUGACUCGGGAAAGGAAUUUACAGUUGCUUCGAGCUCUUCAGUGUCCGAGAGUAGUGGCGACACCGCUCUUCCCAAGUUAGGGUCUGUCCAUGGGAGGACGACUGGUCCUACCAGACGUUCGACAAAGGGUGGUUGGACAGAGAAGGAGGAUGAAAUUUUAACCAAGGCAGUCAAAUAUUUCAAUGCAAAAAAUUGGAAGAAAAUAGCUGAAUAUUUUCCUGGUCGGACAGAUGUUCAAUGCCUACAUCGGUGGCAGAAGGUUCUUAAUCCGGAACUUGUUAAAGGACCUUGGACUAAGGAGGAAGACGAUCGUAUUGUUGAGUUAGUUGAGAAAUAUGGCUGUAAGAAGUGGUCUGUUAUUGCAAAGUCCUUACCAGGGCGCAUAGGGAAGCAAUGUCGAGAAAGGUGGCACAACCAUUUAAACCCAGAUAUAAAGAAAGAUGCAUGGACCAAGGAGGAGGAGUUGGCGCUCAUACGUGCCCACCAAAUAUAUGGAAACAAAUGGGCAGAAAUAGCGAGGUUUCUACCUGGAAGGGCAGACAACUCAAUAAAGAAUCACUGGAACUGUUCCGUGAAGAAGAAGUUGGAUUCAUAUUUAGCUUCUGGGUCUUCUGGGGAUCUGCAUGUAAUUGCCUUUCCCAAUUUUGACAAUCAUGAAACUAAAGCAGGAUCCAUAGGGGGUGAAAUGGUGGGACGAAGCCAAGGCACAUUGGAGUCUGUUGACCAGCAAAUAGACUUGGAGGGUGUCGUUAGCCCCCAUUUACAGAGCACAGUUCUUAGGAAUGCGAAAGGAGCUCAGAGGCAACUACAUCUACAACCAGUUCAAAAUGAUCUGGUAGAAAAGUAUAUAUCUUUGAAAGAAGGGUUACAUGGUCCAAGGAGUCCCUUAUCUCUGAUCGGCUCUGGGGAUAAGGAUGCCACUACAAGAAGCCCGAUCAGUGGAAUUUCUGGAGACGAUGCUGAAAUGCCAGAUGGUUCACAUCACAUCAGUUCUAUUCAACCUGAACUAUCAUGUGGCACUUCAUCAGGUUUUCCUCAGAAGUUGCAUUUAAAGAGAUUUGCACAUGAGCGAAAUGAUUCUACCAAUCUUGCAUCUUUUCAUCACCCAGGGCAUGCUAUCAUUUCAGUUUCUUCUUCGGAUGUUAACUUGGAUGUUACUGGAGCUGCCAGAAGAAAUAGUUUUCCUCCUGAGAUGCCUCUUUCUGUCACUGCUAAGAGAUCAAUUGAAUCUCCUAGACGGCCAUGGCGCUAUGGAGUUCCCAUGAAUGGAUUGAUUUCUACUGAUUUAAGUUUAAAUGGUGAAGCUAACAAUAAGUUCUCAAGUUUGCCAACAUGUGAAUUUGGUGGCCACAAUGCUGAAGUUGGUAAACAAAACAAUGUCCCCAGUGCACAGCUAUAUAUUGAGGAUGUAAAUUUUGGUCGCUUGUAUUAUGAGCCUCCCGUACUGAAGGAUUUGACUGUGGCCUUAGAAAAUGAUAGAGUUUCAGGUACUGACAAUUUUAUCAGAAUAGCAAACAGUCCAGUUUGUUGUUCUACUCCACCUAGCCAUAUACAAGGUAUCUCUAUUAAUUGUAGCAGCCCAGAGUCUAUGUUGAGGAAUGCUGCAAAGAAUUUUAGGAGUACCCCAUCUAUUAUUAGAAAGCGAGUGCGUGAUACUUCCAGACAAGAAGCCAAUGCAAAUGAUUCUGAUGGGAUAUGUUCACCAGAAGUAAGGACCAACAGUUCCACUGACACACUGGGAUCGAAGCAUUCACAUUUGUGUGAAAUUGAUGGCCAAGACAGUCUCAACAGCACAGAUAUACAAAAUGUAAAGCGGAUUUUCCUAUCUCACCAAAACCCUAUAAAAUCUGACGCAUCUGUUUCUUUAAAAUCUGUUGAAAAAUGCCUAGAAGAUGCAUUUGAUAUGGAAUGGGAUCAUGCCAAAGCUAAAUGCAACAACUCAGCUUCUGCAGGUGAUCCUUAUGAUGCCAAUUGCAAUACAAAUACAAAGUUUAUAUGUUCAGACAACUCAUUGGAACCUAGGCAAGUGGCAUCAGGUCUUUCAUGAAACAGCAUGCCUCUUGAUCGUGGUGACAAUUAAGCUUGGAGUUUUUUUGUAUUGCCUAAAAGGCUGAACAAGACAGCACACCAUAUGAUAGCAGGAUAUUGUUUUGCAUAUGUAAACAUUAGAGAUCUUCAUUGUAGCAGAAUGGUUCUACAAUUGAAGCUAUAAUCAUCUGAAGAUUUAGUGAAAGAACAGUCUGCCCAAGGACUGUUUCCAGACACAUACUCUAUGGAAUUACAUUCUAUGGGAUGGCGAAAAAAUUCCCACGAUCCACUGAUAGUGUUUCAGUGGGUUCUUUUUGGAAGGCAUCUAGGUGAUGUCAAGUUCUUUUGUUAAUCUCUCAAUUCUUUUUUGUGUCAUAAAAUUAUAGUUGUAAAUAGAGCUGGGG